CGCCAGACUCCUACGGGAGGCAGCAGUGGGGAAUAUUGCACAAUGGGGGAAACCCUGAUGCAGCGACGCCGCGUGAGCGAUGAAGUAUUUCGGUAUGUAAAGCUCUCUCAGCAGGGAAGAAGAUGACGGUACCUGACUAAGAAGCCCCGGCUAACUACGUGCCAGCAGCCGCGGUAAUACGUAGGGGGCAAGCGUUAUCCGGAUUUACUGGGUGUAAAGGGAGCGUAGACGGCGAUGCAAGCCAGAUGUGAAAGCCCGGGGCUCAACCCCGGGACUGCAUUUGGAACUGUGUGGCUGGAGUGUCGGAGAGGCAGGCGGAAUUCCUAGUGUAGCGGUGAAAUGCGUAGAUAUUAGGAGGAACACCAGUGGAGAAGGCGGCCUGCUGGACGACAACUGACGGUGAGGCGCGAAAGCGUGGGGAGCAAACAGGAUUAGAUACCCCAGUAA
Molecule: ribosomal RNA, 447 nt
Filed under: uncultured bacterium
Lineage: Bacteria
Description: bacterial SSU rRNA
Rfam family: Bacterial small subunit ribosomal RNA
Source: RNAcentral